UUGUUCAUUUGUGGAAGACUCAGAUGGUACUAAAAUAACAAGAGUUUGUGGUUGGCCAGCGGCAGGCACCCCCCGCGAGGGGGGCGAGGCUCUGUCCCACAGGGCUGCCUGCCGAAGCACGGUGGACGGGUAGGUAAACAAUGGGUUGGGAGUGGUGACACUCUCGUAAUGAUCCCUCCGCUGGUUCACCAACGGAGA
Molecule: unclassified non-coding RNA, 198 nt
Filed under: uncultured fungus
Lineage: Eukaryota; Fungi
Description: sequence contains ITS1
Source: RNAcentral